AUACUUACCUGGCAGGGGAGAUACCAUGAUCACGAAGGUGGUUUUCCCAGGGCGAGGCUUAUCCAUUGCACUCCAAAUGAGGGAAACUCGACUGCAUAAUUUGUGGUAGUGGGGGACUGCAUUCACACUCUCCCCUG
Molecule: small nuclear RNA, 137 nt
Filed under: Castor canadensis (American beaver)
Lineage: Eukaryota; Metazoa; Chordata; Mammalia; Rodentia; Castoridae
Description: U1 spliceosomal RNA (ENSCCNG00000010847.1)
Rfam family: U1 spliceosomal RNA
About the family: U1 is a small nuclear RNA (snRNA) component of the spliceosome (involved in pre-mRNA splicing). Its 5' end forms complementary base pairs with the 5' splice junction, thus defining the 5' donor site of an intron.
Source: Rfam by way of RNAcentral